This is a long non-coding RNA of Brachypodium distachyon (stiff brome), 716 nucleotides long. RefSeq lists it as uncharacterized. The record is from RefSeq and is a predicted model, not a curated record. Lineage: Eukaryota; Viridiplantae; Streptophyta; Magnoliopsida; Poales; Poaceae. The transcript has 2 exons.
GAAGGAUCAACCGGACAGACAACUAGGCAUGCCAUGUUUAGAUCCCACACUCGCAUGUGCUUUCUAUUAAGAUUAUCAUCACCCAGUUGUCACAGCUAAUAUAUAUAAUCUUGCAUUACUGUCAUCCAAAGUCAGAACACCUACCUUAGUAUCACAUGAAAAAAGAGAGUACUCCAAUAAGCACAUAUAACAAAGGUGCACUACCGAUUGAGGCAAUUCAGCAGAAAAAAACUUACUACCACUUUUUACCAGAUCUAGCAAUAAAUCCUGAGUCCUGACCAGAUUCAGAAUUGAAGUGUGGAUCUUGUGCUGGUCUCAUAUGCUGCUCAAGAUGGGGCAGUGUGAUUGGAUGGAGAGUUAUGUGGAGUGGUUGGUAACAUAACAGUAACAUGUCUUGGUCCCCCUCAGGAUAUAUAUGUGAGGCCUGGCCUGGCCUGCAAUGCAAGCAAGCAAACUGUUCCCUCUCAUUCCAAGGAAUUUGACAAGUCGACCGGGGCAUGAAGAUCCAAGACUGCAUGAUUAGUUCCAGAGUCCAGACACAUGGUGUCAGCCCUGUCAUUGUCAAUCUAAUUGCCACCGGAUGCAUGUCUCUGUCACCUCUCGCAGAGGAUUAGCUGGAUUUGUUAGAUGCUUUGUAGAAAUCUCCUCUGGGUUCUGUUGUGUGAUUGGGCGUUAUGCCCACAAUUGUUUGCCAUAAUGUUGGAAUCAUUUUCUUA